UACGUAGGGUGCGAGCGUUAAUCGGAAUUACUGGGCGUAAAGCGUGCGCAGGCGGUUAUGCAAGACAGAUGUGAAAUCCCCGGGCUCAACCUGGGAACUGCAUUUGUGACUGCAUGGCUGGAGUGCGGCAGAGGGGGAUGGAAUUCCGCGUGUAGCAGUGAAAUGCGUAGAUAUGCGGAGGAACACCGAUGGCGAAGGCAAUCCCCUGGGCCUGCACUGACGCUCAUGCACGAAAGGCGUGGGGAGCAAACAGG
This 254-nucleotide ribosomal RNA is filed under the name uncultured bacterium. Its description in RNAcentral is "partial 16S ribosomal RNA". It matches the Rfam family "Bacterial small subunit ribosomal RNA", at positions 524 to 776 of the family's 1533-position model. The record is from RNAcentral.